GAUUAGAUGGCUGAAUUAUAGGCGAUAGAUUGUAAAUCUAUUAAUGGGUAUAACUCUCUAUUCA
Molecule: transfer RNA, 64 nt
Filed under: Paramastax nigra
Lineage: Eukaryota; Metazoa; Arthropoda; Insecta; Orthoptera; Eumastacidae
Description: tRNA-Tyr
Rfam family: tRNA
About the family: Transfer RNA (tRNA) molecules are approximately 80 nucleotides in length. Their secondary structure includes four short double-helical elements and three loops (D, anti-codon, and T loops). Further hydrogen bonds mediate the characteristic L-shaped molecular structure. tRNAs have two regions of fundamental functional importance: the anti-codon, which is responsible for specific mRNA codon recognition, and the 3' end, to which the tRNAs corresponding amino acid is attached (by aminoacyl-tRNA synthetases). tRNAs cope with the degeneracy of the genetic code in two manners: having more than one tRNA (with a specific anti-codon) for a particular amino acid; and 'wobble' base-pairing, i.e. permitting non-standard base-pairing at the 3rd anti-codon position.
Source: RNAcentral